RNAcentral lists this ribosomal RNA (472 nucleotides) under uncultured bacterium. Its description in RNAcentral is "partial 16S ribosomal RNA". It matches the Rfam family "Bacterial small subunit ribosomal RNA", at positions 28 to 507 of the family's 1533-position model. The record is from RNAcentral.
GACGAACGCUGGCGGCGUGCUUAACACAUGCAAGUCGAACGCUGAAGCUUGGUGCUUGCACUGGGUGGAUGAGUGGCGAACGGGUGAGUAAUACGUGAGUAACCUGCCCUUGACUCUGGGAUAAGCCUGGGAAACUGGGUCUAAUACUGGAUAUGACAUGCCACUGCAUGGUGGUGUGUGGAAAGGGUUUUACUGGUUUUGGAUGGGCUCACGGCCUAUCAGCUUGUUGGUGGGGUAAUGGCCUACCAAGGCGACGACGGGUAGCCGGCCUGAGAGGGUGACCGGCCACACUGGGACUGAGACACGGCCUAGACUCCUACGGGAGGCAGCAGUGGGGAAUAUUGCACAAUGGGCGGAAGCCUGAUGCAGCGACGCCGCGUGAGGGAUGACGGCCUUCGGGUUGUAAACCUCUUUCAGCACGGAAGAAGCGAGAGUGACGGUACGUGCAGAAGAAGCGCCGGCUAACUACGUG